Molecule: long non-coding RNA, 571 nt
Filed under: Gossypium barbadense (sea-island cotton)
Lineage: Eukaryota; Viridiplantae; Streptophyta; Magnoliopsida; Malvales; Malvaceae
Description: long non-coding RNA (GBAR_LNC002875)
Source: RNAcentral
UUGGAACCAAACUAAGUAGUAGCCAUUCUCUAAGUUCAUAAGUUGUAUAGGUUGUCAGGGGCUCCACAAAGUCAUCACCUUAUUAAGUAAAGUAUUGAAACCAGUUUUCCUACAAAGAUGUUUGAUAAUAAUGGUCCUAGCCAUCUUCCUCUCAAUGAACUUAUGAAGCUGAUCAGAAAAGGUAAUCGACGAAAUUCCUUCUACUAACUUCGUGACCACAUCUCAAUCAUGACGUACAAACUCCUCCUCCAACUUCUCUGGCAAAUAGACAUACGGGGAAGUGCCCAUUAACAUAGAUUUAUACAAUAAUUUAUCCACUCCCACAUCUUCAAUCUUCUGACCAUUUUCAUCCACUAUCAGAUCAUCCAUGUUCGGUGAAGGAUCUGUCCUCCUCCUUACCUUCUUUUUUGCCUGACCCACACCGCUAUUCGAUCUUGUAAGGCUCUUCCCUACCACAAAAUUCGUCGAAAGCAAAGAGCCAUUCAUCUUUUAUAUUUUACUCUUUUAUAAUAUAUUAUCUUGAAAUCUAUUUUAUUAUAAUAAUCUUUACUUUUGAUAUCUAUGUACCUCA